This 497-nucleotide ribosomal RNA is filed under the name uncultured bacterium. Its description in RNAcentral is "partial 16S ribosomal RNA". It matches the Rfam family "Bacterial small subunit ribosomal RNA", at positions 28 to 507 of the family's 1533-position model. The record is from RNAcentral.
GAUGAACGCUGGCGGCGUGCCUAAUACAUGCAAGUCGAGCGAACGGACGAGAAGCUUGCUUCUCUGAUGUUAGCGGCGGACGGGUGAGUAACACGUGGAUAACCUACCUAUAAGACUGGGAUAACUUCGGGAAACCGGAGCUAAUACCGGAUGAUAUUUUGAACCGCAUGGUUCAAAAGUGAAAGACGGUCUUGCUGUCACUUAUAGAUGGAUCCGCGCUGCAUUAGCUAGUUGGUAAGGUAACGGCUUACCAAGGCAACGAUGCAUAGCCGACCUGAGAGGGUGAUCGGCCAGACGGGGACUGAUACACGGUCCAGACGCCUACGGGAGGCAGCAGUAGGGAAUCUGACGCAAUGGGCGAAAGCCUGACGAAGCAACGCCGCGUGAGUGAUAAAGUGCUUCGGAUCGUAAAACUCUGUUAUUGGGGAAGAACAUAUGUGCAAGUAACUGUGCACAGCUUGAAGGUACCUAAUCAGAAAGCCACGGCUAACUACGUG